This is a long non-coding RNA of Passer domesticus (house sparrow), 1928 nucleotides long. RefSeq lists it as uncharacterized. The record is from RefSeq and is a predicted model, not a curated record. The transcript is spliced from 3 exons. NCBI's taxonomy places the organism in Eukaryota, Metazoa, Chordata, Aves, Passeriformes, Passeridae.
GGAGGAGGGGGCUUUCAGGAGGAGGAUGAAUUAAUAAAUAAAUGGAAGGGGGGAAGGGAAAGCGCGCCCGGGGGCACCCCGAGUCGAGGCGGACAAAGGGAGGACGAUGCCCGGCUCGGUUCGGCUCCGCUGGGCGCGGAGCUGCCGCCCCUUUGUUCGGCGCGGCAGCGAGGGGCGAUCCGCGCCGCUCCGCCACCGCCAGCAGCGCAGCGGCAGCGGCGGCAGCGGCAGCCCCACGCCCGCCCCGCCGCCGUCCCGCCCGGGAGGUGCCGGUACCUGUGUCCGCUGGCCGCGGUGCCUGCGCGCCGCUGCGCCCCUGCGGCGCGUCCGGCGGAGCGGUGCGGCGCGACUAGCAGCGCCGAGCAGGAGGAAACGGCAUCCUUUGCAGGAGGCAGCUCACAUUUUGUGAGUUCCACGAGGGACCACAAACAGGCGGCUCUGGCUGCAGUAGGGAGUGAAGAAAAACGUUUCUCACCGGCUCAGCCACUUGUUUGGUUGCAGUGAGGAUGCCUAGAUGCAGAUUAGGAACCAGCAGUCACAUCAGUGAAAUGAGAAACCUUGUUUUCAUUGGCUGCUAGAGGGAACAUGAUGUUUCAUGGACUCAGGACCAAGAUGGGGCAUGGACAAAGAGCAGAUUUUGCAGGGAUUGGGAAGAUUUUACAAAUAAAGAUUAAAAUUUUAAAAACUGAAGUUCAUCCAGGCAUGAAGUCCAGCAGAAAUGUAGGAGAGAAAUGGACAGCACUGUCUGUGAAGGAUUGUGUAAGCAAGAAUGGCAAAACCAUGGUCUGAAUAAAUCCAUUGCACUAAUUAUUUUCUGUACAUGAAUUUCCUAUACAAAGUUACAUGGGGUCAGUCUUUGGGGUUCCCCUGUAUAGCAGAGGAUCCUGAGCCUGAAAAGAGAAGCCGAUUUUGUAAGGGAUUUGCAUAUCAUGGAGUGACUCAGGAUUGCAGAUUUUAAGCAUUACUAAAUCAGGGAAUAAAUUGUUGCUAUUGCUGUUACAUACCAGGAUAUCUCACUAAUCCACACAAUCCACUAAGUUGCUGUAGUUUUAGUCUGUGCUUAUUUUAGAUGAAAUUAUGGCCUGGACGGUUAAUUUUUCUUAGUUUAUCCAUAUAAAUCAAAUAUAAAUAAGGUAUCAAACAGAAACCAAAACAUGACCUGUGUUUUUAGUACACUCCCCAUCAUGUGAACCUGCCAGUGAUAGAGCUCUGCACCCGGUUUACAAGUCAAACACAAAGGCAAAGAAAAACCACAGGUCUUCUUGAAAAAUAGCCAGUUGGCAUUAAAUUCCCUUGCUUUAAUGCUCUGGCUGCCCUGUUUUGCUUAUAUUUGAGACUGCCUAGCCAUUAUGGGAUUGCCUGCACUGGUCCUUUCCUUACAUCAAACUAAUUACAAAUUAACUUAAGGCACUUAGCAGGGCUGAGAGGCUGGAGCUGGUCCUUUCUGAGUUUGGAAAUGCCUGUUGCUUUACAGUGGCUGAUUCCUAAAGUGAGGGGCAAACACACAGGAACCAAACAGCCUGGAACCAAAGUGGUCACACUGGCUUUUGAAAACAGUGAGUCUCUCAAGUUAACUGACAAUCAGCUACCUGGAAAUAAAAGCCUCUCAUAUAUCCAAAGGUUUUCACUGGGAUUUUCAAGAUCUCCUGGGCAAUUUAAAAUCCUUGAAAGGAAUGCACUAUAGAAUGAAAAAUAUAAGUAUUAUUAAAGAAUGUCUCUGAACUGAAAGCCAGCCAGUUUCAUAAAAAUGAGCUAAAAAAGUAAUAACAGGUAGUCUGUCUCUGCUGGAUGCUAUAUGAACCGUAUGUUUUGUAUUUUGGAAGUCACUCUAAAACAAUGUUUUUUUCUUCACUAUUGCUGUUGGGAAGAACAGUAGAAGAACUAUGUAUAAAUGAGAUUAAAGUAAUCUAAUUUAUAAAAAUAAACAA